RNAcentral lists this ribosomal RNA (108 nucleotides) under Acanthosepion pharaonis. Lineage: Eukaryota; Metazoa; Mollusca; Cephalopoda; Sepiida; Sepiidae. The record is from RNAcentral.
UUAAAUCAAGCUGAAACACCGGUUCUCGUUCGAUCACCGAAGUUAAGCAUCGUAGAGCCAGGUCAGCACUUAGAUGGGGGACCGCUUGGGAACACCUGGUACUGUAAG